Molecule: ribosomal RNA, 519 nt
Filed under: Paralepetopsis sp. SWA-2009
Lineage: Eukaryota; Metazoa; Mollusca; Gastropoda; Neolepetopsidae
Description: partial 16S ribosomal RNA
Rfam family: Bacterial large subunit ribosomal RNA
Source: RNAcentral
GGCCCCUUGUUUGAAUAUUAAGAAAUAUAGGGGGUCGUACCUGCUCAAUGACUUAGUGUUAAAUAGCCGCGGUAUUUUGACCGUGCAAAGGUAGCAUAAUAAUUUGCCUUUUAAUUGGUGGCUUGUAUCAAGGGUGUGAUGAAAGUAGAUCUGUCUCUUAUUUUAUUUUAUUGAAAUUAUCUUUUAGGUGAAAAGGCCUAAAUUAUUCUAUUAGACAAGAAGACCCUAUCGAAGUUUAAGUUAAUAAGGUUUUUGGGUUAACUCUAAAAUAUUUUUUCGCUUUUAGUUGGGGCAACUAAGGAACAUAAAAAGCUUCUUGAUUUUUUGUUUUUGCUGACGGGUUUUGAUCCAUAUUUAAUUGAAUAUGAUUAAUGAAAAAAGUUACCGUAGGGAUAACAGCGUAAUUUCUCUUGUGAGACCUCAUUAAAAGAGGAGUUUGCGACCUCGAUGUUGGAUUAAGGUAUCCUAGAGGUGCAGUAACUUCUAAGGGUUGGUUUGUUCAACCAUUAAAAUCUUACA